RNAcentral lists this ribosomal RNA (684 nucleotides) under Multifurca zonaria. RNAcentral's name for it is "partial large subunit ribosomal RNA". The stretch from base 262 to 386 matches the Rfam family "5.8S ribosomal RNA", at positions 30 to 154 of the family's 154-position model. The record is from RNAcentral. Lineage: Eukaryota; Fungi; Basidiomycota; Agaricomycetes; Russulales; Russulaceae.
CGUAGGUGAACCUGCGGAAGGAUCAUUAUUGAAACAUGGGCGCUGAGGGCUGUCGCUGACCGAUUCGUUGGUCGUGCACGCCUGAAGUGUUCUCAUCCAUCUCACCCCUUUGUGCAUCACCGCGUGGGCUUUCCUUUUUUUAAAAAAAAGGGUUGGCUUGCGUUUUUUUUUCCACACAAACACAGUUUAUUUUUUGAAUGUAUCUUCUUUUGCGGUCACACGCAAUCAGUACAACUUNNNNNNNNNNNNNNNNNNNNNNNNGCAUCGAUGAAGAACGCAGCGAAAUGCGAUACGUAAUGUGAAUUGCAGAAUUCAGUGAAUCAUCGAAUCUUUGAACGCACCUUGCGCCCCUUGGUAUUCCGAGGGGCACACCCGUUUGAGUGUCGUGAAAUUCUCAACCUCCUUGGUUUUUCCAARGGAAGGCUUGGACUUUGGAGGCUUCUGCUGGCCCAGAAACUUUGGGUCAGCUCCUCUUAAAUGGAUUAGCAGGGUCCUCUUUGCCGAUCCUCGACGUGAUAAGAUGUUUUCUACGUCUUGGGCUCGGCUCUGUUCAUUGGGACCUGCUCCUAACCGUCUCAUCUGGAGACAAAAAGGGCUUUCAAUUGAAUAGCCCAAUUUAUGAAACCUUGACCUCAAAUCGGGUGAGACUACCCGCUGAACUUAAGCAUAUCAAUAAGCGGAGGA